GCGAUGUUUAAUGGUAACUCGUAGAAACCAAGCCCAUGCACAAGUAGAAAGUGCUCGUGGAGCCGGCCGGGGGCCCCCGCCGCGCCGCCCUCCCGGCGGCGCCGUAAAUAGACUCUUCACUCUGCUCUGUAUGUUACACGCUGGAUCACUGCAGCCGCCACCUCCUGCUGCUCCUUCAGCCUCCGGCCCUGCGAGAACCAAGCCUCAGACUUCCAGCCUGGAGCCCACCGCGUCCCCUGACCUGGGGCUGCUGUGAUUCAUCUCGCGGGACCCCCGGCCUCUGACCUUGUACUUCCGGAAGGCCGUCUGGAUGACUCGAGCCGCCUCGUACAGCUCCCGCUGCUCGUGAUCCGACAGCGUUAGCAGGGCAAAGUCGCUCUCCAUCUUGCCGCUGGCAGAAGCGGACAGAAACUCUGCCCAGGAAGGGGCGGGAGGGACGGCCAGGCGACCACGCUCGAAGGGCAGUUCGCUGCAGGGACAGGGAGAGGGGGUGUCCUGGGGCCCACCGUGAAGCGUGUCCAGCCACAGAGCCCGGAGGGGGACUUGAGAGCCCCUCAGCCGGUACCAGUCUCUUCCUCGGGGGCUGGGGCCCCGGGCCAGAACGGAGCACUGGCUCCAGGGAAGGACCUCCCCGCUCCCUGCUUGCCCUGACGAAUCUGGACAUGCUGUCCUGAGCUGGUCACCUGGGCGGGGCUGAGCUGGGGAAAUGGUCCACGUUCUCCAGGUAGCUGGCCAGCCAGGACAUGGUCUCGCUGAGCCCCAGGGCCCCUGUCCGCUCCCUCAUUGGUGCUCCAGCCUCGGGCAGCCCCGUGAAGUCCUCUCGUUUAAUCCGCUCCGGUGUGGCUUCAAUGAUCUGCUUGGCCAGUGAGAUCAUGUCCACCUGCACAGAGGAGACGCUCGGUGAGUCGGGAGCAGUCCCAGCCGCCAGACAUUCCUGCCCCGCCAAGGCCGUCACCAUCGUCCACUUGCUGUCUUGUCAUUCCCCUCACCACCAGACAGGCCUCGGGGAUGGCUGUCCCUGCUCCCCAGUCCUUCUCGGCCACUAUUUACAUAUGGCUGCCAGGCUCCCACUUGAGUUUAUGGCCCUGUGUUGAGACGGCGUGGAAAACGGGACGGGAUGGACCUCCUCCGAACAGCGUUGCAGGAGUGGAACAAAUGAAGGACCUGUCCUUCCAGGCCAACUGCCCGCUGGGCCCCGGCCUCAUGCCAGCUGACCAACGUGUGCUCCCCACGGGCUCGGCCGUGCCUGCAGCCCCCAGCCCCCUGAGCUCGGUGCCUGCCACCUACCGGACACCCUGCCAGAUGGCUCUAGCUGUGAAGCCGGCGCGUUGCCGACGUUAAGCGUUUUGUGCUUCUAGUACUAGAUACCCAGUUAGUCCGUUGGCCUCUCCAAGAUGGGUACCUCCCCAGGUCUUAGCAGAGAAGUGCGCUGCUAGGUUCGAAGAUUCUUUCCUCUGUUCACUCCCGUCUCAAGACUUGCUUCACUUUUGUCCCGUGCAAGCCUCGUCCCCACCCCAGAUCUCUGCCAGACGCGCCAGCUUGUCAGCCUCUGCUCCACACGGCACCCGCUUCCCUCCGUCAGGCUGCUUCCCCCAAAACCUCAUCUCUGCACGGACCAGCAGCUCUUCCAGGCAGCGGGCGAGGCGCACGUGGCCCCGGGACUGUGCCACGGACAGGGGCAGCCGGCCCAGUGAGUCGGGAAUGCUCAGCGCCUGUCUGUUCCAGCGGAAGAGGAGCACGGCGGCUUCCAGGUGUCCCAGGGCACAGGCCCACAUCUGAGGGUGGAGAGCGUGGACAUGAGGCCCGGGGCCCUUCCUCCCCAGGCCGGGUCUUCAGUUCCCAGCUCCACCGGCUCCUUCCCUGCGUCCCUCGACACUUUCCCACGGCCACGCGCCUGGCCCGCGCCGCCCCACGCACGCUCACCAGAGGGGUGCAAGAGAAGUGGUCCACGUUGAGCGGGUCAGCCUCUUGCUCUAAGUCCAGGCUCCCUGUCCCCACGCUCCUGGAGGGUUUGGGACAGGGACACGAGCCCAGUCGGUAAAAGCGGGCAAAGGAACGGGGGAGGAGGGCAGGCUGUCCAGAAGCACCGAGGUCGGUGCAGCAAGAUGGUCAGAGAUGCAUAAUGUGAGGGGCUGAGAGUCUGUCACGAGUGCAGAUCCUUCCCUCUUGGUGGGGCUCCGGGUCCUCUGGUCCCUCCUCCGUCCCCUGGUACUUCUGCCCCAGUCCCCCUGCCCGCUGCCCUGCUCACCGCCACUGGCUCAGGGUCUCGAUGAGGCGGGCGUAGCCCUGGGCGGCAGCCAGGUGCAGGAGGCUCAUGCCCCGGAAGGGGCUUCCGUGGGCCAGACGUUCAGGACCCCUCCAGGUGGAGCGAGGGAUCAUGCUCUCUACCAAAACCACCACACGGGCCUCGAACCCAGGUCCCUGGCCUUCGUCCUGCAGUACAGAUACCCUUGUGCAGGGACCCGAGCGUCUGGUCCCCUGGCUCAGGAUGGCCCUGGCCACCCCACCCCUGUCCUCUCCGCUUCCUGUCCUGCCCUCCCCACACCUCCCGCACCAGCUUUCCUGCCACCCAGAGCUCUCUGGGCCAUCCGUGUCCCUGGUUUGGGGUCCUGGGUGUCCCCCACCCCCAGUUAGCUUCCUCCCCCGCAGACGGCUUCUCCCUCUCGGAGCCCAGAGUCCUCUCCCCGUCUGCUUCCUCGGAGACUUGGGCCCCUGCUCUCCUGGCCCCCUCCCCCCACCCUCUUCAGAUCAGAAAUAGUCUGAAGCCCAUCGUGCCAAGAGGGUGCCCAGAAUAGCCACUCCCGCCCCGCGGUGGAGCCGGAGUGGGGUGACGUCAGGGAGGAGGAAGCCGGGGACGGGAGAGCCACACACGAGAGCCAUCUCCUCCGGGAAGACCCUCCCGAGCUCCCUCCUCACACAGGUACCUGAAUCGGAGGCACGGCAGGACUGCGGCAGGGAGCCUGCCCGGCUGCUGCCAGGUCGGCCAUCCGUUUCUCCAUCUGCUCCAGCCGCUCCAGGAUGGACAUCCGGAACUGGUUGUCUGAGGGGCAAGAGGUACGGGAGGAGGCUGAGCGGUGGGUAGGGUCCGGGUGAUGCCCCGAACACAGCUGGGCCUGUCCCAGGCUCUGGGGGUGAAGAGGCAGACUCACGUUCUUUCCUCUCCCCCAGAACAACGGCCCCUCUGCCCCACCCUCCCCGCCCCAAAUACGGUCCAUCAGGACGCAGGCCUUAAACUGGGGCUUUCAACACUACCCACUGACCGGGGACCAGAACUGUGUCCUUUGAGACACAGACAUGGUGGGAGCUCCCAAACAGCCUGCGGCCCCAAGCCGGCCCAGAUCUCACUCACACACACCCCCAGCCUUCUAGACGCACUAUUCCGUCAGCUCUCCUUGCCCCAGAUGCUACCUCUGUCCCCCAUGCUGGGGCUGAAGGACACCGGGCCCCUCUUCUCUCUUAUCCACUGCCCAGAGAGCUCAAGGGCUGUGAUUUAAAAAGCACCACCCCCUCCUCCCAGUCCCCCGGCAGCUGUCCACAAAGAGGGUGGCAGGGCUGGAAGGUGACAGAGACGGACGGCCACGUCCAUUCCUCCUCUUCCUCCCCCACCCUGUGCACAAAGCACACACACGCGCGCGCACACACCCCAAGCUAUAUCUGUCCCCUCCUGAGAUCACACAAGGACAAGGAGGGGAGGCGGGAGGGGAUCGGGGCCGUGGGAAAACACGCACAGAGACACGGUGGAGGUUGAGGAGGUCCCACUUGAGAUGCCAGGACAGAAGGGGGACUAAGGAAGAGGUGAUGGGGGUGGGGAGUGGAGAAUGAACAGAAAGACAAGGGAGGGGGCAGGAGGGUAAACCGGGUGGAGGAGAGGAGAGGAAGGGCGGGAGAGCGGAGGGGUGCCCCGAACAAGCAAGAGGAAGGGAAGAAGAGGGGCAAGUCAGGACACUAGUCCAAGGAGCAGGGGGAGGGUGGAGCCCCACAGGAGAGCCAGGAACACAUAGGCCUGGAACAGCCACGGCGGAACGCAUGAGCAGGCCAGGCUGUGGGGGGACCGCCCCCAAGAGUGAGGCAGAUGGGGGCUGGGGGGCAAGGGCGCUGAGGGAAGGAAGUCCGGGUGGGGGGAGAGGGGCACCUGCAGGACCAGGAGAAGCAGGUGCCACAGGGAAACAGCUGGAAGCCACAGGAGGGAUAACCCAUAAGGAACACACGUGGGUCUAGACUUGAUACACACAUGCGUGAGCAUGUGCGCUUCUGUCCGUGCAAGAAAGUACAUUAAAGGCGAAUGUCACCAAGUGGUAACAUUACAAGCAAUUUUCAUUUUCUACCGCAUGCUUUUCUGUUAUUCCUAACUUUCUUACAGCAACCACCUAUCUUCAUAACUAGAGAGAAAAUUCAGGGAGGAAAUUAAAUACACAUAUAGGUACAUACAUAUGCUUGUGGACACCCCACAUGCACUGCCCCACACCCUGUCCCUGCUCCCGCCUCUUGGCCUCGCCUGCCUAGAGCCCAUCUUUGGGACAGAGGACAGGCCAAGAGCUGGGACAGAGACGGCUCCGAGGUUUCCGGAGAAGAGGAGAUUGGAGGGGGGGGGGGCAAUGGCUGCUGCAUUUAGAGAUGACCAAUGAAGCAGGGGUUGGGAAAAGGGGGGUAAACUGGGGGCUGGGCGGUGGCCACCGGAGUCCUGAGGGGUUUGGAGCAUGUCCUCAAAGGCUGUGGGGCCUGCCAAGGGGUCGGAGGGCUAAGUACUCACCGUCCAGAGACAACCAGUCAAGCUGAGUACUAGGCAGUGACAGGAAUCGGCGGGCUCGAUACUCAAAGAGCACAGAGGCGGAAAGGGGCCCCUCCCGCCCCGCCACCUGCAAAGACACCAGCCCCACCUCAUGGGCUGGGGAGGGCAGGGUCAGCAAGAUGGGCUCUCUCCCUGGUUCCUUCUCUGGCCCCCACGUGAAGGCCACACAUGAUCAUUUCAUAGCCGGCUCCCCUCCACCCUUGCUUAAGUGGCCUUGGUCCUGAUGGGGAAGGGACUCCACUCUGUUCAUUCAGGAAUUUAAAACCUCCUAUGGGCCAGAGACACCUGGGACUGCAGACUCUGCAGGGAAGAUGCUUCUUAUUCAGCACCAAGGCCUGGAAGCUGAGGGUCAGGAGACACCUACGCUUACAAAGAAGUUUGAUCCCCCAAGGCACAUGUGGCUGAUGGCUACCAUACCGGACAGCCCAGAUCUAGAAGGCAAUGUCCUUCGGUCCAGGACAGGUUGGAGGAGACCAACGUGUCUCCCUUCUCAUGCUCCCUGGAUUGGAACCAGAGACUGACUCUAACCAAGCCAGAGGGCCUGGAUGGACACUGGAGACCCGUCAGGGCAAAUGCCUGCCCCCAAAGGAGGGGCGGCCACGGACCCAAGAAAGGAGCGGACCUGUCCGAGGCCACCAGUGAGCCGAGGACUAGAUUCCUCAGACCAGAGCCUAGACCUUCUGACACAUGAGCCUGGGGAACAUCUGCCCAUUGCGGGGACACAGGACUCAGGCUCAAGAUCCGACAGGGUCGUUCCCAGCACUUCCUGGAAGCUAACCGCCCAGGUGCUAUCCUGCCGUCCCCAGUCCCCGUGCCAUCCCUGGUCCCCAUACCAGGACAGUAGCAGCGCAAGACGCCAGGCUGGACGAGUGAGCCUGGCACCGCGAUGUGAUCAAAGACACAGGAGUAAUGCUCGGCGGCCUCAGUCCAGGGACCUGUGAUGAGCACCUUGACCCCACCCUGCAGAGAGAAGGCCGGGCGCCGUGUGACCGGAACCCUGUGGGGUGCUCACUCGUGCACCCAUUCAUCGAGGGCACUAGUGCUGCAGGGCGGGGCCCUGUGCUAGAUUCCGGGUACACGGACUGGGCGGGCUGCAGCGGGGCGAGGUCAGCUAGCCUGUCCCUCCUCCCGACGCUCCUGCCCAGAUCGGAGAACCCACUGCUUCCCUUGCCUGAGGCUCCCACGGUCCUUCCCCUCUGUGGGGCAGCUGAGAGUGACCGGGACUUCUCCACUGCUGAAGGCAGACUCUGCCAUCACACCCCGUCAUGUUCUCUCCAGGCCGGGCCGCCCUAGUGCCCUGCCUGUGACACAGUCACCGAGAAGACAAAGUUCCCCAGGCACCUGGGGGACCCACACCACGCCACCUGGCCCGCAGAGGGGGGAAGGCAGGAGGGAGGGCUAACUAGGGAGACAGCGAAAAUAGGGUGGGACAAGUGAGCGGUCACACAAACCAAGGGAAACCAAGUGGCGGCGUGGGUAGGAAAAAUAGGGGAGCGAGGCCUGAGGCUCACCUCCGGGUAGGACCACUCUGGGGAGAAGUCCGUGAUGCUGCUAAGAGCAGGAGAGAGCGGGGCGGCUGGGGCAGGGGCGCCUGGAGCCUCGUCGCUGAUGAGCUCUCCCAUGAGGUCAGGGAAUGACGUGAGACCGAAGGGCUCUAGUUCGCUGGCCCCAGCAGCUCCUCCAAACAAGGCCUCCCCUCUGCCUCCCCUGCCUGCUGGCUCCAAGGGGGCAGGUGAAGGUGGGGGCGAAGGAGGGGGUGAAGGUGCGGGUGGGGCAGCCCCCUGGGCCUUGAGCUCCUCCCCGCUACCGUCAUCUUGAAUAAAGAAACGGUUUCCUCUUC
Molecule: long non-coding RNA, 6629 nt
Organism: Felis catus (domestic cat)
Lineage: Eukaryota; Metazoa; Chordata; Mammalia; Carnivora; Felidae
Exons: 4
Source: RefSeq, a predicted model, not a curated record